Molecule: ribosomal RNA, 822 nt
Filed under: Protoparmeliopsis garovaglii
Lineage: Eukaryota; Fungi; Ascomycota; Lecanoromycetes; Lecanorales; Lecanoraceae
Description: SSU rRNA
Rfam family: Bacterial small subunit ribosomal RNA
Source: RNAcentral
GGUCAAUAGCCUAACGGCUGAACCAGCAACUGGAGGAAUGUAUAGCAAUAGCUAAUUGCAUCAAUGUUUAAAUAAUUGAUGCAAUAUCGACUCUGUCGAAUAAAAUUCUAGGUAGAAUUAUGAUAAUGACAUUGUCUACCUAUGUGUCUUGACCAAAUUACGUGCCAGCAGUCGCGGUAAUACGUAGAAGACUAGUGUUAUUCAUCUUUAAUAGGUUUAAAGGGUACCUAGACGGUAAAUCAAGCCUGCAAUAUGGGACUAAUGUACUAGAGUUACUUACGAGGGGGUAUUGAAGUACUGCUGGUGUAGAGAUGAAAUUCUGUCAUACCUCGUUUCGGAAGAAACACUAUGGCACAGGUAUAGGCGAAAGCAUCCCCUUAUGUGAUAACUGACGUUGAAGGACGAAGGCUUUGUGUAGCGAACAGGAUUAGAUACCCCAGUAGUCAAAGCAGAAAAUGAUGAAUGUCAUAGAUUAGAUGUAUAGUUUAUUCUAUAAAUGAAAGUGUAAGCAUUCCACCUCAAGAGUAAUUUGGCAACAUUGGAACUGAAAUCAUUAGACCGUUUCUGAAACCAGUAGUGAAGUAUGUUGUUUAAUUUGAUGAUCCGCAAAAAACCUUACCACAAUUUGAAUAUUUAGAUUUUUAUUUUCUUUUGAAGAAAUAAUAAAUCCAUUUACAAGCGUUGCACGGCUGUCUUCAGUUAAUGUCGUGAGAUCAUGGUUAGUUCCAUUAAUUAACGUAAACCCUUACUUUAUUUUUAUAUAGAGUUGUUCCCCGCUAGAUUGGAUAAGAUAACAGGACUAAGACAAGUCAUCAUGGCCUA